RNAcentral lists this ribosomal RNA (1247 nucleotides) under Staphylococcus aureus. RNAcentral's name for it is "bacterial SSU rRNA". It matches the Rfam family "Bacterial small subunit ribosomal RNA", at positions 1 to 1229 of the family's 1533-position model. The record is from RNAcentral. Lineage: Bacteria; Bacillati; Bacillota; Bacilli; Caryophanales; Staphylococcaceae.
UUUAUGGAGAGUUUGAUCCUGGCUCAGGAUGAACGCUGGCGGCGUGCCUAAUACAUGCAAGUCGAGCGAACGGACGAGAAGCUUGCUUCUCUGAUGUUAGCGGCGGACGGGUGAGUAACACGUGGAUAACCUACCUAUAAGACUGGGAUAACUUCGGGAAACCGGAGCUAAUACCGGAUAAUAUUUUGAACCGCAUGGUUCAAAAGUGAAAGACGGUCUUGCUGUCACUUAUAGAUGGAUCCGCGCUGCAUUAGCUAGUUGGUAAGGUAACGGCUUACCAAGGCAACGAUGCAUAGCCGACCUGAGAGGGUGAUCGGCCACACUGGAACUGAGACACGGUCCAGACUCCUACGGGAGGCAGCAGUAGGGAAUCUUCCGCAAUGGGCGAAAGCCUGACGGAGCAACGCCGCGUGAGUGAUGAAGGUCUUCGGAUCGUAAAACUCUGUUAUUAGGGAAGAACAUAUGUGUAAGUAACUGUGCACAUCUUGACGGUACCUAAUCAGAAAGCCACGGCUAACUACGUGCCAGCAGCCGCGGUAAUACGUAGGUGGCAAGCGUUAUCCGGAAUUAUUGGGCGUAAAGCGCGCGUAGGCGGUUUUUUAAGUCUGAUGUGAAAGCCCACGGCUCAACCGUGGAGGGUCAUUGGAAACUGGAAAACUUGAGUGCAGAAGAGGAAAGUGGAAUUCCAUGUGUAGCGGUGAAAUGCGCAGAGAUAUGGAGGAACACCAGUGGCGAAGGCGACUUUCUGGUCUGUAACUGACGCUGAUGUGCGAAAGCGUGGGGAUCAAACAGGAUUAGAUACCCUGGUAGUCCACGCCGUAAACGAUGAGUGCUAAGUGUUAGGGGGUUUCCGCCCCUUAGUGCUGCAGCUAACGCAUUAAGCACUCCGCCUGGGGAGUACGACCGCAAGGUUGAAACUCAAAGGAAUUGACGGGGACCCGCACAAGCGGUGGAGCAUGUGGUUUAAUUCGAAGCAACGCGAAGAACCUUACCAAAUCUUGACAUCCUUUGACAACUCUAGAGAUAGAGCCUUCCCCUUCGGGGGACAAAGUGACAGGUGGUGCAUGGUUGUCGUCAGCUCGUGUCGUGAGAUGUUGGGUUAAGUCCCGCAACGAGCGCAACCCUUAAGCUUAGUUGCCAUCAUUAAGUUGGGCACUCUAAGUUGACUGCCGGUGACAAACCGGAGGAAGGUGGGGAUGACGUCAAAUCAUCAUGCCCCUUAUGAUUUGGGCUACACACGUGCUACA